This 370-nucleotide ribosomal RNA is filed under the name Antigona lamellaris. RNAcentral describes it as "partial 16S ribosomal RNA". It matches the Rfam family "Bacterial large subunit ribosomal RNA", at positions 1932 to 2540 of the family's 2925-position model. The record is from RNAcentral. Lineage: Eukaryota; Metazoa; Mollusca; Bivalvia; Venerida; Veneridae.
CGUGGCAAUGAGAGUUGUGCUAAGGUAGCGUGAUAGGUUGUCUCUUAAUUGGAGAAUGGUAUGAAGGGUCUCACGUGGGGUUUCUUUUUUUAAUUAAUAAAAUGAAGUUUCUUUUUAAGUGAAAAAGCUUAAGUUUUUGUAAAAGACGAGAAGACCCUGUCGAGCUUGAUUAAAAUUAUUGAUUCUUAAAGUAUAUUUUGUUUUAAUAAUUUAAACUUUUAUUGGGGCAAUAUAGAUUUAAAUAACAGUCUAGUAUAAAAUUUAGAUCCUCUUUGAGAGAAAACAGCAAAAGCUACCGCAGGGAUAACAGCGUUAUCUUUCUUGAGAGAUCGAAUUGAGGGAAAGGUUUGCGACCUCGAUGUUGGAUUAU